Molecule: ribosomal RNA, 253 nt
Filed under: uncultured bacterium
Lineage: Bacteria
Description: partial 16S ribosomal RNA
Rfam family: Bacterial small subunit ribosomal RNA
Source: RNAcentral
UACGUUGGCAGCGAGCGUUGUUCGGAAUUACUGGGCGUAAAGAGUGUGUAGGCGGUGCUCUAAGUUCGGUGUGAAAUCUCCCGGCUUAACUGGGAGGGUGCGCCGGAAACUGGAGUGCUCGAGCGUGGGAGAGGAAAGCGGAAUUCCUGGUGUAGCGGUGAAAUGCGUAGAUAUCAGGAGGAACACCUGCGGUGUAGACGGCUUUCUGGACCAUUGCUGACGCUGAGACACGAAAGCGUGGGUAGCAAACAGG